This is a non-coding RNA of Sus scrofa (pig), 8447 nucleotides long. The record is from RefSeq and is a predicted model, not a curated record. Lineage: Eukaryota; Metazoa; Chordata; Mammalia; Artiodactyla; Suidae.
UUUUAUGCUUUAUCUGGGUUUAAAGUGUGGCUUCUGGUCCUAGAACCAGACUCUUCAGCAGGGCAAGGCAAACCAAAUUGAGGCUUCUUCCUCCCAAAGUUAAAUUGCUGAGGCAGAUGCCCAGUUCCAAGAUGAAGCCAACAGGGUCAGCUAGGACCUCAGGACUACUCAAACAUCAGAAUAUUCCUCAACAGAUUCAGGGCCCAGAUAAUUUUUGACUGAUGGUAGAGAGACCUGGAGGGGAGAUCUGAGACUAAAUAGCUGGGCCUGGGUCAAGUACAGAUCCUGCUCAGAGAGUAGGUCAGGUACGAAUCCACUGGACAGAGACGAUUGCUUCCUGCCCCUCAGAAAUGUAUAGGCUGGAACCCAAGUGUGGAAACCAUCGGUAGAUCUGGUUGUGAGGCAACCAGCAAGGGGCUGACAGCCUUGGCUCAUAUUUCCACAAAGACUCAGUUUUAAGAUGCACUUUGUCAGCUUCUGAUUAUCUACUAUCUUCCACAUAUCAAAUUAGGUUCUUUAAUUCCUUUAGCUCUGGUAACAACUUCAUGAGGGUAGUCCAGUAUUCCAAUCUUAGAGAUGAGAAGACAGAGACUAUAAGAUAAAUUAUUGGGAUAAUUAUCUUAUUGGAAUAAUUAUCAGAACUCAAGCCCAAAUCUUGAUGUGUCCACCGAUGAAGCCAUGUUUGUUUCCUACUGCUGCUAUAACACAUUACCGCAAAUUCAGUGGCUUACAACAGCACACAUUUAUUCUCUUAUGGUUCUGGAAGACCAAAGUCUAUGAUCAAAGUGUUGGCAGGGGUGGGUCCUUCUGGAGAUUUAGGGGAGGAUUAAUUGUCUGGCCUUUGUAGGCAUCUAGAUGCCACCCGCCUCCCUUAGCCUGUGGUCCCCUCCUUGCAUCACUCCAACCUCUUCCUCGUCACAUCUCCUCCCACUGAUUCCAAUCCUCUCGCCUCCCUCUUAGAAAGACUCUUGUGAUUAACCUGCGCCCGCCCAGCUCAUCGUCUUGUCUCAAGAUUCUUAACUCAUCACGUGUGCAGAUUCCCUUUUACUAGGUAAAAUACCAUAUUCUCAGAUUCUAGGCUUAGGAGGCAGACGUUCGAGGGAGCCGGUAUUUCGCCUACCAUGGGAGGGAAUGGAAGGAAGUGCCCAGAGCUGGGCAGCUUGCAAGUGGCCAGACAGAGGGAGAGUUUUAACUUUCUCUGAGGCUGAUGCGGAACAGGGACAGGGAGCAGCAACAGGAGUCCCACAGCAGGCAGGCACUUCCGUGGAGGCUGGCCAGAGGAGACUGGUUCCCAGUGGGAGAGGUCUACCAGCCUAGGGAUCUCUGAGCUGCCCGAAGCAGUAGGGACCACAGACAGAUAGCAGAAGCAUCUUGCAGCUAAAGAAAAAGCCAUAAAGGUGAUGGCCAUCAUGCAGAAAGGCCCACCUCCGGCCCUGCCUUUCUGGAAACACAUAAACUAGAAUUCUCGCGUGACCUCACAGAGUAGGGGAAGGGGUCCCGCAAAUGACUGAGAUUGAAUAUUGGUUGGCUUGACCCGUGGGGGCUGAGACAAGAUUAAAUAUCAUUUCAAGAGUUAUUAAGGGACUCUGACCUUGAACCUUUGUAUUCGUUUAAAGCCUUACCUUUUGUAGUUCCAGACUUUGGCCAUGGCCAAAGAAAGUAGGAGAGCAGGUAAAGGCAGAGAGCAAGGAGUGUCCUGCCAGGGUGCUCCAGGCACUCUUUACAGCCAGGAGGAAAGAGAAGGAACAUCUCAGGUCCUUACUCAGGGUCCAAACCUCAUCCAGACGAACCUGCUAGUUAGUUAGGCUCCUUCGAUGGCAGAUAUCGUCUGAAUAACAAUAACCAUAUUAAUAAGGAUAUCCACCAGGGGGGAAUAAAAAGAUGGCAGGGUAUUCCCAAGAGGAAAAUUAAUUUCCUUUUAUAAUCCGCUGUAGUUUAUUUCACAUAUUCAUGACCCGCCCAGUAUGUUUUUUCUUUAUGACGAGCCAUAAAAAUGACAAAAUACAUUAGCCAAGUUCUUCGUUUCUGCUAAAAUGACCAUAUUCAAAAAUAAUAACAGAGACUUGUAUCAGCGAUGCAAAAGAUGCAUGAAGUAAUUGGGGCUUAAUUUGUACACAAACUGUCAAGGCAGUUUUCCUCACGGCCUGCAUCUUCUGAAUUCAUUAGUCUCUAAUUACGGCCAGUGGGGACCAGCAGUUAGAAGGUUAAAGAGGUUCUGACAGGCCUAAUCAUUGCUCAGGAAGCUGAAAAUGUAUGCAAAGUCUCGGCAGAUGGGGUGAGAGCGGCUUCUGCCAAGUGAUAACUGUUAUUCCUUUGCACCUCCAAAGCUGUCAUCCUAAUAGGCACAUUUUAAAUUUAUUAAUGCUCUAGUUACAAUGCAUACACAGUCUCUAAUGGUAUGUCAUUCUGAGUAUAUAAACUGAGCAAUUAACACAUAUUACCUGGUAAUGGUAAAAUUAUUUGUUGCCUGUUUGAUUUAUUUAUUUAUUUUUUGGUUGUCUCCUAGUCCAGUAAGGAUUGUCCCAGGAAAAGCUUCCCUUUGUUAAACAAGAAGCAAAGCUACCUUAUAGGUAAAUUUCUCUGAUAGGAGAACCCAUCUGAGUGCCUUGGUCCAAUGCUUCACCCAGCCUGUCCCAUCCGUCACCGUGUUCUGGCCACUCACAUCAGCAUCUAGAAGUUAAAAACAGUUCAGGUGAGACACUUGGUCCGACUUUGGGGGAGAGGCAGAGACAGUCCAUCUUUAAUGAAAGGACCCUUUCAAGUGAAAAGAGGCUCAAGGUCGUAUCUCUCCUUUGUGACGUCAUGCUCACUCAGAGACAGAGAGAUGAUGUGUUCUUUAGUUUCCAAUUCAAAAGUCAUCAAUAUCUUAUCCUUCUCUGGUGCCCUCCCUGACUUGAAGCCUCAUUGCUUUUAAGCUAACUAAUCACCAGGAAGAAGUGUGUGUGUGUGUGUGUGUGUGUGUAACAAACGAGAUCUUUUGUCUUUCCUGCGACUAUAGCCAUGACAUGGGAAGGGCCGUUAAUUAAAUGCAGCACUUAGCGCAACAAUUGUUUGCGUGGAGAGGCUACAGCAAUGGAGACAGCUGGAAUGGAUAGUCUCUAAAUUGUAGGCUUCAUCCGGUCCACAAGAUUCAUAAGCGGUCCAAAUAGCAUGAUAAGAUGUUCAUCUCAGCCACAGAGCAAUUAUCCGCUCGGUGACUGACCGCCACUCUCUGCAUCCGCCGGCCCGUUUCACCUAAUUGAUUUACACUGUAUAGAAGUCAUAUAACAACAACAACAAAAAUGUCACCGAGACUUUAUGUUAAUUAAAAACUGUGAUUAGAUGUCCCUAUCAGGUGAUCUGUUGGAGAUUUUUAUGCUGUACAGAAAAGGUAUCAAACUCUUAGGUAAUAAGUUUUCUUUGCCUGAGACCAAAUAACCCAUCCAUUGUAGUUCUUUCAGUGGCUGGAAGAAGAGCCCUGGUGGAUGAACGCACGUGAGCUGUGUGACCUUGAGCAAGCGUCCUCACCUCUCUGAGCCUCAAUUUCCUCAUCCCCAAGGUGGGAAGUUGGCCUAGACAAUCUCUGACUUCUGGAAUCUCUCCCGGUCCCAAAAGUCCAUGAUUCUAUCCAGGUCCACAGCACUGUGUAACCGGGAGAGGAUUCUCCAGUCGAGCCCCAACAGUAGCCAGGAAUAGGUCUGGUCUUUCAUCUUCUACUUCCUGUUUUCAACUUGGAAGUUUAAUCUGGUUUGUGACUCUCCUGCUUAUUUAUAACGUUUUAAAAAGAUAUGUGCACAGUGGACUUUUUCCAGCCCCUUUGCUGUAUUUUUGCUAUAUGAUACAUCCGUUUAUUUCCAGAGAUUAAAAAAAACCCCACCUGUUUCAGCAUCUCUUUAAUGGGAAGUCCAGUGAGGAGAGUCUAGACGUGCCUGCAGGGUCAGCUUGCUCGUGUGAGUGGCACCGCGGGGAGAAGGGCCAUCCUGGGGACUCUGUGAAUGGUGCAUGUGUGUGGGCUGCGCACGUGGCCACACCCAGGCCUGCAGGGGUGGACCUGGUCUGGGUCACCGGUCAGCCCUCUGGCCUCCUUGGACUCUCACCUUCCUGCCUGUAGAGUGACAGUGCUGGACAGACUCCUCCCAGACUCUGUUUCUGCAACAACCUUGGAUGAUUCUCACUCCUUUUGAGCAAAGGGCAUUUCCUCAGAAUUAGCGCCGUGGUUGCUAAGUGGUUCUUAGAGGAGCCAGCGGGUAGAGACAGGAGUCCUGACAGCCACAUACAGGGGAAAAGUGUGCCUGAAAUCCUGAUCACAUUGUAGACAGCAAGCCAUGGUGUGGGACAUGACUUCUUCUCCAGGAAAAAAAGAAAACUACUGGUCAAGGUUACUAGCCAGAGGAGUUCCCACGGUGGCUCAGCAGUAAUGAAUCCGACUAGGAUCCAUGAGGAGAAGUAAGAUAAGGUGGUGUCCGGAGUAUGGGGUCUGGAGCUUGACUACCUGGAUUCAAAUCCCUGCUCAGUCAUCUCUUGGCUGUGUGACUUAAGAUGAGAAGAUACAUCUGCUUCUGCUUCUAAGAGUCGGUGAUUCUCAUCCUUCUCUCUGCACUUGCCCUUGCCGUGUCCUUGGUCAGCACAGAGGAAGGACAACAGCACAUCUCCCUCACAUCGGAAGUGGCUCCACAAGUUGGCCUUCACUGCCAUCAACCCUAACAGGUGUGGUGCUCUAUCUCCACAGUCCUCCAGAGCGCCCUCAAGUCCCUCAGGGUGUCUUUACUCCAAGAAGGGGUUCUAGACUAGACAAGCAGAGGUGUUGCAGAAAGGAAGAUACUGCAAAGGGUGUGCUCCCCAAACUGGGGAAGACAUAUGGGCAGAAGGGCCUGGGCUGGACCUCACAUCCAUCCCUCUUCCCUUGGGGUCCUUGACCACCCUUGAGAAUGGCACCUACAUGCUCUAAUUCUCCAUAAAAUCCAGAGGCAAAAUGUCCCUGCUGUAAAGACCUUGAACCCUUUUUGGGAAGGUUUUAUGAACUUAAUAUCAUGGGUUGCUCUAACCCCAACCUUUGUCCUGACAGCAUCCGCUCAGGGAGUUUGAGAUUCAGCCAGUCUGUAAAGAGCUUCAGAUCCAGGGCUUUGAGGUGGGGAGAAGUGGUCACCUUGGAGAAAGCAGGAAACUGUGGCCAGCUGGGGCAUUCUUUGCUAUAGAUUCCAAGAGACAAACUUGCUGAUCCCAGGUCAAUUCUGCCCCUGCUUCCCUGCAUCUAGAACCAUCUCUGACUCCACCUCCCAUUAACACCCCAGAACAGAUUCCCUACCCACCUCCUCAAGAAGAACAUUGCCUCCGGGGAUUUUCUAAGAGUUUUUAGGAUAAGCAGCAGUUAGAAGCUAACAAUAAGUAAAAUUUCCAGAAAUCAAGAGAAACUUGCAAUGUUCCUUGACACUUUAAAUGAUGCACUUGAAACAAGAGGCUUGCAUUAGGAUCUAAAUUAGAGUUCUUGAGUGGCUUUUUCUAUUUUUUCUUUCACGUUAACCUGACUACAACUUUAUCUCCUCCAUUCACUUCCAAGAAGUCCUUAUAUAAUAAAGAGUUGAAGGCUGAAGCCCUUGCUUCCUCAAUAGGGGGCAGGCUCACCAGCUCCAUCUUGUCAGUUACCUCUUAAUGGUUGGUAGGAUGAGGGAAGCUUUCUCAAAAGACAGUUAAAAUAGUGCUUUAAGAAAUCCUCCGCCAAUAAAAAGUUGCUUCCAGAGUUAUAAAGUCAGUUUUCUUAACCUCUCAAUCUCAACUCAACUCAAAUUACAAAGUUUACAUGCCUUUGGGGAUGGCUGUAUUAAGUAAAUAGAGAGGAAUGGUCACAUUCAGUGUAAGCUAAAACACCCAAGGCUGGCAGUAGGAAAAGGAGCUACCUACCUAUCAGGUCUUUCAUAAAGCCAGUCCCUUAAGUAGAAAGAAUAAAGUUCUCUCAAGACUUACCCUAUGGACUGCCUUUCACAGCUGGUUCAUAUUUAUAAGCCAAUUUGUCUGGAAGUAAAUCUCUUUAACACACCCAACUGACUCCAAGAGGUGUGUCCCAUGGGAACCAAUCUUAAAUAACCGUCUCAAGAAAAGUUUUAGCAGCAAUAUUGUCAGUCCUGGAAUUUCCACCUUUGGGGGGAAAAAAAUCAACAAUAGAAUGCUUGGAAAUACAGAAUACACAGAGUUUAGCAAACUGCCAAAUUAAAUUCAGACACACACACACAAAUUUGCUAAUACCUGGUUAAAGAGUUGGCAUGGGAAGAAACAGACUUCUCAUUCAAGCCUGAAGCUCGGUAAUGGGUCAUUUGACCUGAAAUAACUUGGGCGGAAGUUGGCCUUAUUGUCUUCCACAAUCUCUUCCCACACAGUCAAAAAAGGGGAUGCAAUCUUAAGAUUUUUUCUUCCUCAUUCUCUCCCGCCCUUUCUCCUCUCCCUCCCUCCCUUUUAUUUUCUCUCUCUCCUUCCUUCCUUCUUUUCUUUCUCUUUCAAUCUUUGGGCAUCAAAAAGGGUAUCCCAGAAAACUUCAAAUGACGUUUUAGAAGAGGACCGUGUGUUGGUUUCAGUUGUUUUUAGGGUGGGGGCUUGAACAACCUCAUCUCAAAAACGGAGAUUUUUUUUAUUACCUCUUUUGGUUGAGAUAUAAUUAAUAUAUAAUAAAGCUAUCUAAUUUACUGAAUUGGUCUGAUUCACAAGUUAAAUAAGGUUAAAUCAAAGAAAACAUGUAUAAGUCCCUCUAGACAGUGUCCAGGGUUGACUGGAUUAUAAACAGACAUAACCACUGAGGUCACUUUUUAAUUUAAAAACCCUCAAUGGCUCCUGACUUCCUACAGAACAGUCUAAAAAUCUAAGGCUCAAAAAUGUCAGGCUCUCCUUUCUAGUGCUACCUGCUGCCCCCAUCUCUUAUACAUACCAUUUGUCAGAUGCAACCAGAUAAUAGAAAUUUCCAGUCUCUCAGCUUCCUCCUGCUGCCCCAGGUCUGCUUAUCAAGGCCCUGCCCAUCCUUCAAAGUCAGAAGUCAUCUCCUCCAUGGAGUCCUCCAGCAUGUGAACGUUCCCAAGGAUGGAAUAAACACCAUUUCUUAUGACAUGCCACUCGGUGGCCUCAGCAGGACCUGGAUUGGAUUUCUGUAUCAGCUCCUUACCUGCUGGAUGCCCUGGAAUGAGAGACUUGAUUACCUCUUGCCUUCAUUUUCCUCAUCUGUAAAACAAGGAUGGUGUUAUUUUUAUUUCCUGGAUCAGAGGGAGGAGGACAUUAAUAUAUGAAUUAGAUUAAUAUAUGGAAAGAACAUGAGGCCAGCCCCUGCCCCCAGGUAAGUGGUGGUGGUGGCAGUGAUGGCGGCAGAAGUAAAUGUUACCAUUCAAACACACCUGCGAGUUGGAAGGAGCCUCCUGCUAAUGGCGCAUGUGUUCUAAAGAGGUUGUCUGUUAACUUGUCCCCUAGUAAUUUGGGACGUCGGUGUCUGAAUUUUUAAAUUCCGGGAUUCCCACUUCCAUGUUUUUCCACCCACUCCUGACAGCACUUUGGGAAGUAAGAAAGAAAUUCAUUUCAUCCUAGUUUUCUGGACCUCUUUUUUCCUAUUCCACCAAGCUCUGUGUCUUCAACCCCAGGUGCCCUAUCGCAGGGUGAGGCACGCAGUGGGGAGCCAGAGUGAUGCUCCUGUAAUAUGAAUAAUUUGGACAUUUCUCUCCCCAUUCUAUCUAAUAGGUCUUUCUACAUAAUCCUUGUAUCCCCAGGAACUGGUCCUUCUCCCUGGAUUUCUGACCACAUCUUCUUACUGAUUCCUCGAGGACAGCUUCCGCUAGAGCUUUGCUAGUUCUGAACUCCUCCUUCUCAGCCAUGCUUCAUACUCAUUCUGUACCCCAAUUAACUGCUCGGGGGGCAACCAGCCUACUUCCAUGUUAACUUGAACCUCAAGCAGCCAGGCCCUCCAAGGUAUUCGGGUGACACUGAGUUCAGACCCAUCUUGUUUAUCCUCUCUAUGUAGCAUUAACCAUCAAAAAACAAAACAAAACAAAAAAAAAAACCCAUAAGAAAUUAUGGUUCAAAGAGUAUACUUUUGAUAUUGAAAUUAUUGUACUUUUCUCUAGGUCCUUGAAAAUCAGUUAUUUGUGAAGGCAUUUAUGGUAAACUUUGGCCGACUGGAAUAUUCAGUUAACCAGAACACUUGCAUAAUGUGAAGCUGUAAACACUUAGAUUGACCAGCUACUCUAUAAAAAGAGUCCAUACUGUUGCUAAGUUACAAUUAGACCUUAUGUCAGGACCCUAGAUGAUUAAGCAUUUUCUCCAUGGCAUGUGCUUGGAAAAGGAUGCUUUAUGCAAGAAUGUCACGGAUGGAUAAAAGUUACCAAGACUUGCUAUAUAGCACAAGGAACUCUACCCAAUAUUCUGUGAGAACCUAUAUGGGAAAAGAAUAUGAAAAAGAAUGGAUAUGUUGGAGUCCCUGUUGUGGCUCAGCAGUAACGAAC